RNA transcript from Amborella trichopoda, 1881 nucleotides. It is a transcript of the gene named Regulator of chromosome condensation (RCC1) family protein, with no coding region annotated. NCBI's taxonomy places the organism in Eukaryota, Viridiplantae, Streptophyta, Magnoliopsida, Amborellales, Amborellaceae. The record is from RefSeq and is a predicted model, not a curated record.
GCUAAACGCUCGCCCAAAAUGGCCGGUGCUUACUCAACCGCACCUGCGACUGUGUCCAGACGAAAUGGCGGCCCGAGCAGCGGUGCCCUCUCUCCGCCUCGCCUUCCAGCCCCUUGGCCGCGCCUACUUCUCCUCCACCGCCUCGCCCCUGCGCCUCACUAUCGGCGAUCCUGCUGUCACCACCAGCGGCGUGCGCGCCGAGCUCCAUUCGUGGGGGCGCGGCAGCGCUGGCCAGCUGGGUGGUGGCAUCGAAGAAAUCCGCUAUUACCCAACACCUGUUGCCUUUCUCAAUCUCCCCACUGACUUUAGCUUGGCCCCCGUUUCGGGUCGGUUGAAUUUGUCUUCGGAAGCCUCAUUGGUUGAGGCUGGUGUUUCUUGUGGGUUGUUUCACUCGGGUUUGUUGGUGGAGGGGAAGUUGUGGGUUUGGGGGAAAGGGGAUGGGGGUAGGCUUGGGCUUGGCUCCGAGAUGUCGGCCUAUGUGCCGAUGUUGAACCCACAUUUGGAGUCAUUGCGUAUGGUUGCUCUUGGGGGCCUUCACUCUACGGCACUUACAAUGGAAGGAAGGGUCUUCACAUGGGGUUAUGGAGGAUUUGGGGCACUUGGGCAUUCUGUUUACCAUCGAGAACUUUCGCCUAGGCAAGUAGAGAAUGCUUGGAGUGGAAAAAUAUGUCAUCUUGCUACCAGUGGUACUCAUACUGCCGCUAUUUCUGAUGCAGGUGAACUUUAUACUUGGGGUCGAGAUGAAGGAGAAGGUAGGUUAGGCCUCGGUACUGGUGGUGGCCCAGAUGAGGGUGCACUUGGCACCCCAUCAAGAGUGGAUGCAUUACCAGUACCUGUUGCUGCUGUUACUUGUGGUGGAUUUUUCACAAUGGCUUUGACAACCGAUGGGCAGUUAUGGAGUUGGGGAGGUAACUCAAACUUUGAGCUGGGAAGGGGUAAUAACAUAAAUGAUUGGAGACCACAACCAGUUCCUAGUCUUGAUGGUGUUAGGAUAAUUCAAAUAGCAAGUGGUGGAUUCCAUUCUAUGGCACUUACUGAUGAUGGGAAAGUGCUUACUUGGGGUCAUGGAAGACAUGGUCAGUUGGGUCAUGGCUCUAUCCAGAAUCAGAAGGUUCCAGUUGUGGUUGAGGCAUUAGCAGAUGAAAAGCUUAUAUAUGUGGCAUGCGGUGGUUCUUCCUCAGCUGCUAUCACUGAGAGCGGUAAAUUAUACAUGUGGGGAAACUCAAAGGACUGCCAGCUUGGGGUUCCUGGCCUUCCUGAGGUGCAAACAUUGCCAGUGGAGGUGAAGUUUGUGGUUGACGAUGAAAAACUAGGCCCUCCCCAUGUCCUACUGGUUGCAAUAGGUGCAUCUCAUGCUAUGUGCUUGCUAUCAAGGCCUCAAGCCCAAACUUGUGAUUGAUAAGAUAGUUGGAUCCAAAAGUUUGAGUCGGUGGUCACGAUUAUUCGUAGAUCUCAUGUUGGCAUAUUGUCAACAAGAAAUGCUGAAUACACCCUAGUUUUCAUCAUCAUACGAGGGGGGAAAUCAAGACCAAGGGGAUCCCGGUAAGCUGAUAUAUUGUGAUGAUGGUUUUAAAUGUGUACAUACUGGGGAUAAACACAAUAUGGUUUUGAAACUCUCCAAACCAAAAUUAUAGUUCCAUUUGGAUUAGAUUUUAUCCAAAGUUUAUAAAUGCAACUGAGUCAAUUUUGUGAUAUUUGAGACUUGCUAAUUGGGGCUUCCAUUAGGAACUUGGAAGCAUGUCAAGUAAUGAUGAUGUUGAUUUCAGACUGUAUCUAUACUAUAUCUAACUUUGUCUUGUUGGAUGGGCUGCUUUGACCAUAGAAAGGAGGAACAUUACAAUAUUGAAUGUUCCUCCAAGAAGCAAUUUUGAAUAAAUCACA